RNAcentral lists this ribosomal RNA (225 nucleotides) under uncultured Clostridium sp. RNAcentral's name for it is "partial 16S ribosomal RNA". It matches the Rfam family "Bacterial small subunit ribosomal RNA", at positions 568 to 792 of the family's 1533-position model. Lineage: Bacteria; Bacillati; Bacillota; Clostridia; Eubacteriales; Clostridiaceae. The record is from RNAcentral.
UGCGCAGGCGGACUUUUAAGUGAGAUGUGAAAUACCCGGGCUCAACUUGGGUUCUGCAUUUCAAACUGGAAGUCUAGAGUGCAGGAGAGGAAAGCGGAAUUCCUAGUGUAGCGGUGAAAUGCGUAGAGAUUAGGAAGAACACCAGUGGCGAAGGCGGCUUUCUGGACUGUAACUGACGCUGAGGCUCGAAAGCGUGGGGAGCAAACAGGAUUAGAUACCCGUGUA